Molecule: ribosomal RNA, 540 nt
Filed under: Betta lehi
Lineage: Eukaryota; Metazoa; Chordata; Actinopteri; Anabantiformes; Osphronemidae
Description: partial 16S ribosomal RNA
Rfam family: Bacterial large subunit ribosomal RNA
Source: RNAcentral
CGCCUGCCCUGUGACAAAAAGUUCAACGGCCGCGGUAUUUUGACCGUGCAAAGGUAGCGCAAUCACUUGUCUUUUAAAUGAAGACCUGUAUGAAUGGCAUGACGAGGGCUUAACUGUCUCCUUUUUCCAGUCAAUGAAAUUGAUCUUCCCGUGCAGAAGCGGGAAUAUAACCAUAAGACGAGAAGACCCUAUGGAGCUUUAGACACAAAACAGAUCUUGUUAAACACUUCAAAAUAAAGAAACAAACUAAAAGAACCCUGCCCUACUGUCUUUGGUUGGGGCGACCACGGGGAGAUAAAUAACCCCCACGCGGACUGGGAAAACAGUUCUCACAACCAAGAGCUACAGCUCUAAUCAACAGAAAUUCUGACCUCAAGAUCCGGCAACGCCGAUCAACGGACCGAGUUACCCUAGGGAUAACAGCGCAAUCCCCUUUUAGAGUCCAUAUCGACAAGGGGGUUUACGACCUCGAUGUUGGAUCAGGACAUCCUAAUGGUGCAGCAGCUAUUAAGGGUUCGUUUGUUCAACGAUUAAAGUCCU